RNAcentral lists this long non-coding RNA (202 nucleotides) under Elaeis guineensis (African oil palm). RNAcentral describes it as "long non-coding RNA (EGUI_LNC020029)". The record is from RNAcentral. Lineage: Eukaryota; Viridiplantae; Streptophyta; Magnoliopsida; Arecales; Arecaceae.
CCGCACAGCACCUCUACACACCAUAGAAGAACCUCAUCGAAUGGGAGGAAAGGGCUGUAAAGCUCUACUUUCUCCAAUGAUCGGAUAGCUAUGAGGAUCUAUCCAAUUAGAUUACUACACUACUCAAAUUUUAAAUUAAUUAUUUAGAUCUAAUCUAAAUAAUUAAAAUUAGAUAAAAUUAGAUUAUAUGUAAAACAUUCAU